GAGGGUAUAGCUCAGUGGUAGAGUGCAUGCUUAGCAUGCAUGAGGUCCUGGGUUCAAUCCCCAGUACCUCCU
RNAcentral lists this transfer RNA (72 nucleotides) under Camelus ferus (Wild Bactrian camel). It matches the Rfam family "tRNA". Rfam says of the family: Transfer RNA (tRNA) molecules are approximately 80 nucleotides in length. Lineage: Eukaryota; Metazoa; Chordata; Mammalia; Artiodactyla; Camelidae. The record is from Rfam by way of RNAcentral.